CCGGCUAUUUAAUAUACUAGAUAUAAAUUAAAUUAUUAAUAUAUAUUAGUAAUUAUUAAAAUAAAUAUCUAAAAAAUAUAUUACACAUAUAUAAUAAAUGUUUGUUUAAAUUUACACUUUUGGUCCUCUUCAAACUUUAAAUUAUUAUAAUUUUUUAUUUGAACUUUCUGAAUUUCUGAAUUAUUACAAUCAAAUCUCGCAGCUAAAUUUAGUUGGCUUGGCAAAUUGUUGACAUGGGAAUAAUAAAAUAUAUUAAUUAUUAUCGCAUCGUCAACCACAAUACUUAUACAUUAUAUCUACAUUAACAAUUUAUCAAUAUUUAGCUAAUUAGAGUAGGUUGUGUAAUUUUAUUAGAACAAACCAAAAAA
This 368-nucleotide long non-coding RNA is filed under the name Ananas comosus (pineapple). RNAcentral describes it as "long non-coding RNA (ACOM_LNC011795)". Lineage: Eukaryota; Viridiplantae; Streptophyta; Magnoliopsida; Poales; Bromeliaceae. The record is from RNAcentral.